Haplochromis burtoni (Burton's mouthbrooder) is the source of this 791-nucleotide long non-coding RNA. RefSeq lists it as uncharacterized. The transcript is spliced from 3 exons. The record is from RefSeq and is a predicted model, not a curated record. Lineage: Eukaryota; Metazoa; Chordata; Actinopteri; Cichliformes; Cichlidae.
AGGAAAAGGAAAAGAAAGAGAGAGAGUGAGAGAAACGGGGGGGGCACAACAGCUUAUGCUAACCUGACAUGAACCUGUUCUCCCUGCAGGCUCCCGUUCUCCACUCAUCUGCUGCUGCUAAUUAAUACCACUGGGGAGGAGGAGGAGAGAAGACAGAGGGAUGGGAGGAAUUUCUCGUCUCCUUCUCUCGGUAUACCAUUACAGCCUAGUCCACCUCUGCCUCACCUCGAUCUCUGCUGAAGAAGAAAUGCUCGAGCAGGUUUUGGCUUCUCUGCUUAGCGGGUCACUGGCUGCUUGUGGCCGUCCAUCAAGGAAAUAUGUGGCAGUCGGGAGAUGAAAAAAGGCAAGGAGGACUGCCACCAGCUACCACACUACGCGUCUCUUUUGUCCUGUCUCCCUCUCACCCCUAACCUGUCACGGCAGAUGGCUGAGCUCGUUAGGGAGAAAACUUUGGUGCGUCGACGUCCGCGAGCUCUUCCAGGAAUGGUGAUGAUGCUUUCCAGGAAAAGUCGAGAGGCACUGAGUUAGUAUGUGUUGAUCGCAAACUUAAUCAGCUCCAGAGCAGGUAAGGUAUUCAGCAGAAGUUACCGUGGCGACGCAACAAGGUAAAUGAACCACCUUUCCAACAUCGAAAACCCAAACUUACCUCAUCAAACCCCUAGCAAGGUUCGUCCUGGUUCGUUUAACUUCAAGUGAAUGAAUUCCCCUAACUUUUAUUUACUUCUCAAUAUGUUUUACUCUUUACUUUCUUCAUUUUAUCAGCCUUUUCAUCACUGUAUGGUAAUUUUUCU